AAAGCGGGUAAGCUAAUCUUGGUGGAGGAUGUAGGUUAUUCAAGGUGAAAGAUGUGUCAGGUAGGUUAUUCAAGGUGGAGGAUGUAGGUUAUUUAAUGUGAAAGAUGUGUCAGGUAGGUUAUUCAAGGUGGAGGAUGUAGGUUAUUCAAGGUGAAAGAUGUGUCAGGUAGGUUAUUCAAGGUGGAGGAUGUAGGUUAUUCAAGGUGAAAGAUGUGUCAGGUAGGUUAUUCAAGGUGGAGGAUGUAGGUUAUUCAAGGUGAAAGAUGUGUCAGGUAGGUUAUUCAAGGUGGAGGAUGUAGGUUAUUCAAGGUGAAAGAUGUGUCAGGUAGGUUAUUCAAGGUGGAGGAUGUAGGUUAUUCAAGGUGAAAGAUGUGUCAGGUAGGUUAUUCAAGGUGGAGGAUGUAGGUUAUUCAAGGUGGAGGAUGUAGGUUAUUCAAGGUGGAGGAUGUAGGUUAUUCAAGGUGAAAGAUGUGUCAGGUAGGUUAUUCAAGGUGGAGGAUGUAGGUUAUUCAAGGUGAAAGAUGUGUCAGGUAGGUUAUUCAAGGUGGAGGAUGUAGGUUAUUCAAGGUGAAAGAUGUGUCAGGUAGGUUAUUCAAGGUGGAGGAUGUAGGUUAUUCAAGGUGAAAGAUGUGUCAGGUAGGUUAUUCAAGGUGAAAGAUGUGUCAGGUAGGUUAUUCAAGGUGGAGGAUGUAGGUUAUUCAAGGUGAAAGAUGUGUCAGGUAGGUUAUUCAAGGUGGAGGAUGUAGGUUAUUCAAGGUGGAGGAUGUAGGUUAUUCAAGGUGGAGGAUGUAGGUUAUUCAAGGUGAAAGAUGUGUCAGGUAGGUUAUUCAAGGUGGAGGAUGUAGGUUAUUCAAGGUGAAAGAUGUGUCAGGUAGGUUAUUCAAGGUGGAGGAUGUAGGUUAUUCAAGGU
This is a long non-coding RNA of Pecten maximus, 910 nucleotides long. RefSeq lists it as uncharacterized. The transcript has 3 exons. The record is from RefSeq and is a predicted model, not a curated record. NCBI's taxonomy places the organism in Eukaryota, Metazoa, Mollusca, Bivalvia, Pectinida, Pectinidae.